Molecule: unclassified non-coding RNA, 1274 nt
Filed under: Hevea brasiliensis (rubber tree)
Lineage: Eukaryota; Viridiplantae; Streptophyta; Magnoliopsida; Malpighiales; Euphorbiaceae
Source: RNAcentral
ACAGAGUUGUUGGGUGAGGUCUUCAAUAAUAAUGAUGACUAUUCUGGUGAACAGUCUACGAGUCAAAAGAACUCGGCUGUUGGACUUGAAACUAAUUUUUCUAGUCAUAAGCCACUGGUUAACUUCCAUGUUAAGAAUAAUGGUACAUACAGUGAAGCUGACAUUGAUAAUGCUCAAGUCCAGAUGCAAGCAUCACUUGGAUCUUGGGGAGCUCAAUCAUCAUCCUUCCAUGGACAACUUGGAACUAGAAAUGUUUUGGGCGUUGCAAAUUCUGAUGUGCAAGAUGCUUCAUCUGCCAUUUCUGCAGUGGGCUCAUCUUUGGAUGUAUUCAAUAGUAUGGAUGAAUCAAGCAGGCAAAUGAAUCCUAUGAACCAGGGCAGUGCUGUCAGUGGAACUGGAAUCAAGAUUAGAACCCGCCGGCCUCAAGUGCAUCCAUAUGCAGAUAACUUUGUCACUCAAGGCAGCGCUCCAAGAAGGCUCCGUUUGCAGAGGGAAUUUUCUACUGUUUCUCCUGGAAGUAGAGCGGAGAGGGAUGCAAGUCAUCAAGAAGAAGAAGAAGAUGAAGUGCAGUCAGCUGUAACAAAGGCAAGAGAUGCAGAACACAAUCCUGAUUCAGAUAAGUUGCUGAUGAAAAGCCAACUGCACAUUUCUGACAAGAGCAUAGAAAUUGCUGAAGAAUCUUCUACAAAUUUGAGGUUAAGGGUGAAACAGGGUCGUAAAUGUGGCAGUGGCGAGAUAGGAGGGUCAGCAUUUCCUGAUGCAGCUCCUGUGAACCAUGGCCACAGCUCACCAUCAGUUUAUGUAGUUGGAGUUGUGCUAGCUUUUGUCUUGUUCAUAGUUCUUGUUGGAAUUUGGAGAUGCGAGUAAUGGAAUAGAGGAAACUUACUUGAUAAGAAGAAAGUGGUUUUACAGACUGCAUUUAGAUACUUGCGCAUAUGUAGCUUGGAGGUAGUAUAAAUGUGUGCAAUAUUGGAUGAAGGUCAUCUGCAACGUGUAGUCUUUGUUGGUUCAUCUUGUACAAAAUAUGCAAUUGACGUCGUCUGAUGGUUGGGUUUCAUGGAUUCCUGGAGCUAGGAAAAGUGUAAUUUGGCUUCUCUCCAAUCUCCAUAUUUUAAUCUCACUUGGCAUUAAAUUUAUGGGCUAAUGCUCAUAGUAUCAAAUUGUGGGAUAGCGCGGAAGUGCUGAAGUUCACGGCUAGUAUCAAAUUGGCUAUCCAUUCAUCGAGGGUACUAUAGUGUUUUCUUAUUUGUCUAUCCUGAUAUGAUAUGCUUGGG